UGUCUAGAGUGGAAGAGCUGCAGCUAGACCCUUCUGGAAGGAGUGUGUGUGUGUCACAUUUAUAGCAUCUGACUCGGUCAAUGACAAAGAACAAGAUGAACACAUACAGAAAGCAGAUAGCAGAACAGUUCCUGAGUCAGGCGCUGGGCAUAAUCUGCAUGCUGACCGGAGAGGAAUACACCAUUGUGAAGAAGAGGCCCUCCCACAGCAGCAAUCACCGGCUGAGCGGAGAGGUG
Molecule: long non-coding RNA, 236 nt
Organism: Bombina bombina (fire-bellied toad)
Lineage: Eukaryota; Metazoa; Chordata; Amphibia; Anura; Bombinatoridae
Exons: 3
Source: RefSeq, a predicted model, not a curated record